GUGGGGAAUAUUGGACAAUGGGCGAAAGCCUGAUCCAGCCAUGCCGCGUGUGUGAAGAAGGCCUUUUGGUUGUAAAGCACUUUAAGCGAGGAGGAGGCUACCGAGAUUAAUACUCUUGGAUAGUGGACGUUACUCGCAGAAUAAGCACCGGCUAACUCUGUGCCAGCAGCCGCGGUAAUACAGAGGGUGCGAGCGUUAAUCGGAUUUACUGGGCGUAAAGCGUGCGUAGGCGGCUUUUUAAGUCGGAUGUGAAAUCCCUGAGCUUAACUUAGGAAUUGCAUUCGAUACUGGGAAGCUAGAGUAUGGGAGAGGAUGGUAGAAUUCCAGGUGUAGCGGUGAAAUGCGUAGAGAUCUGGAGGAAUACCGAUGGCGAAGGCAGCCAUCUGGCCUAAUACUGACGCUGAGGUACGAAAGCAUGGGGAGCAAACAGGAUUAGAAACCCCUGUAGUCC
This 451-nucleotide ribosomal RNA is filed under the name uncultured bacterium. RNAcentral describes it as "partial 16S ribosomal RNA". It matches the Rfam family "Bacterial small subunit ribosomal RNA", at positions 354 to 796 of the family's 1533-position model. The record is from RNAcentral.